RNAcentral lists this ribosomal RNA (499 nucleotides) under uncultured bacterium. Its description in RNAcentral is "partial 16S ribosomal RNA". It matches the Rfam family "Bacterial small subunit ribosomal RNA", at positions 28 to 507 of the family's 1533-position model. The record is from RNAcentral.
GACGAACGCUGGCGGCGUGCCUAAUACAUGCAAGUCGAGCGAAGUUUUUCUGGUGCUUGCACCGGAAAAACUUAGCGGCGAACGGGUGAGUAACACGUAAAGAACCUGCCUCAUAGACUGGGACAACUAUUGGAAAAGAUAGCUAAUCCAGGAUAAUAUCAUUAUCUGCUUGGUUGGUGUUUAAAAGUUUGUUUUGUUAAGUCUAUGCGAUGGCUUUACGUUGCAUUAGCUUGUUGGUGGGGUAAAGGCCUACCAACGCGAAGAUGCAUAGCCGACAUGAGGGGGUGGUCGGACACACGGGGAGUGAGACACGGCAGAGACUCCGACGGGAGGCAGCAGUAGAGAAUCUUACGCAAAGGACGAAAGCCUGACAGAGCAACGCCGCGUGAGUGAAGAAGGAGUUCGGUUCGUAAAGCGAUGUUGUUAGGGAAGAAUGAUUGUGUAGUAACUAUACACAGUAGAGACAGUACCUAAACAGAAAGCCACGGCUAACUACGUG